Molecule: long non-coding RNA, 9308 nt
Filed under: Equus asinus (donkey)
Lineage: Eukaryota; Metazoa; Chordata; Mammalia; Perissodactyla; Equidae
Description: lncRNA (ENSEASG00005024410.1)
Source: RNAcentral
GUUGUUAGCUGAUAUCCAUGGCAGCUGCAGUGGCAGCGGCAGGGGCCGUGUGUGUGAGUGUGUGCACUAGUUGUACUGGACUGGCAGGAGGGGAGGGGGCAGGGGGGCGGGAGCAGGCUGGAGGGGGAGCAGGGCCGCGCGCGCGCGCGCCGGGUGGGGAGCCGCUCCGCCGCCGUCUCUCUCGCUGGCUCGCUCCCUCCCUCCCUCCGCAGCUUGACCCGGUAGUGAAGGCGGGGAGAGAGGCAGGCUGGGUCCGCCUGGCGGCCUCCGCGAGGAGGCGGGAGCGGAGAGGAGGGCCCCGAGGCCCGCGCGGGGAGGCCGCAGGGAGGGCGGCGGGGCUGCGCGCCCAGGACCCCCGCCUCCCCCGGUGCGGCCCGGGCUGCGGCGACGCGUCGUGGCCUGGACGAGGGGCGCCGGGGCCAGCGCUGCGGCUGUCGGUCCGGGGGUCCUCCUGCGAGGUCCUCCUGCGGGGUCCUGCGGGAUGCAGGGGCCGAGCUGGCGGCGGGCGCGGGACUGCGGGGCGGGCCUGGGCGCAGGAGUUCCCAACUGCGACAGGCUCUGCCUCCCCGUGUGGACGGACCCGACGCCGAGUUUGCAGAACGCCCCUCCGAGGAGCGGGAAGUUGCGGAGAGCCGGGGACCGCGCGGCGCGGGGCGGGCAGCCGGCAGCAUCCCCCGGGCGGGGCUGUCUGGAGAAAGGCGACGCCGGGGAGCGAGGGCAAGGGGCUUCGCUUUUCCGUGUGAGGGGAAACGGAAAGAAAGGGGCUGCGGGUCGGGGUGGGGCAGCAGGGAGCAGCCCCCUCGGAGCAGAGGACCCUUUAACCCGGGACCUGCGGUGGAGACGGCAGGGGCACACCCUCGGCCAGCAAAGCCCGCAGACUCGGGGUUGUAACCUGGGAAGAAGCCUUAGGAUGACCCUGCCGGCCAAGGUCCUGUGACAGAGAAGGCAAAGACGGCUCCGAGGGUGAGCACAGAGGCAGCACCGGAGCUGGAACUCAGCUCGCUGCCCGCAGCCGGCGCCUCUCCCUUCACCGAGUUUGCAGUCGCGAGGAGAGAAAAUUUCCAGUUUAUUGGCACUUGCUCAAGGUCCAAGGAGGUAGGUGUCUAAGCGAUUGGCUCUUUCUAGGCUCUUUCCAUAGUCAGGGAGACGCUUCCUCCUGUGGGUUCUCCUUGAAGUCACUGGGGGUACAGCUGCAUGGUACCUAUUUACUGAAGGAACUAAGCCAAUGAGUAAAUGUAUGAGCUUUUAUUAUCAGUCCCUUUAUUAUUUGUUUUUAAAGUUUAUGUCAGUAAGGACUUACAGAUUCUCAUUUAAUUUAAUGACUCAAACCUUCUACUGGUAGUCUUGAUUUUGAUGCUUAGAUUGUCCCAGAUUUGGCCCGUAGGGGUUCCUUCAGGAUGGUUUGCUCGUCCUUUGACAUGUCCCUCUGACUAUUUGAACACUGUGUUGCUUCCUGAUGUAACCAGAUGCUCCACAUUUAUCUUGUUCUUUCUCUUCCCCAGCUCUGGAAUCUGACUUUCUCCUCCCGGGAAACCCUGUUCCUUUUAGUGGAGAAUGAUAUUUAGAAAGCAAGAUAUGGUGAUUUGACUUAUUUAUUGCUCUUAAUGGGCCAUUACUUCUAAGCCCUUUCAGUGGACAGAGCUAGAAAAUGUAUCUAGAGAUAUUUCAAGUGUGUUUAUAUGUAGUAUAUUAAAUACAUUUACAUAAAAAACAUGAGUUCAUACUGAUACUUCCAGUUAACACAAGUCCUUUUACUUUUCACGAGAAGAGACAACUCAAAUCAUUGGCUUAUUAUUUACAAAACAUUGACCUUUUUUUUUAAGAUUUUUUUUUUAUUUUUUAUUUUUUUGUGAGGAAGAUUGGCCCUGAGCUAACAUCUGUUGCCAAUCUUCCUCUUUCUCUUCUUGAGGAGGAGUGUCACUGAGCUAACAUCUGUGCCCAUCUUCCUCUAUUUUAUGUGGGAUGCUGCCACAGCAUGGCUUGACGAGCAGUGCUUAGUCCGUGCCCAGAAUCUGAACCUAUGAACCCCAGGCCACCAAAGCAGAGCCUGUGAACUUAACCAGUACGCCACCGGGCUGGCCAAAACAUUAGUGUUUUUAAAGAGAAAAUAUUUGUCUACAUAAAGUGGGCCUAGAAAGUAAUAAUAUUGAUCUCAAACAAAGCCAUCCAAAUAGGUUUCCUUAAUAAACAUAAUAUAUCUUAGAAUCUUAGGUAUUGAAGGGAGACAUCUGUGAUCUAGAUGUGAUACAGUAGGACUCUUGCAGUAGACAGUUCAUUUGGGUCUGUGUUGGAAUAGAGAAAUAAGAUCAGGGGACUAAAGCUUGACAUAAUCCUUCCCCAAACUUUUAAGCACAUGAAAAAGCAUAUUAAGCAUUCAUGACACCCAGAAUCUUGAAAUGAAUGCAUAUUUAUGAGAGAGGUGUAAACAGCAAGAAGUACUGACACUGUGUAUAUGGAACAAUGCUAGUGUGCUCUCUCUAGAUAUAAACACAGUAGCUACAGAUGCCACACUAGCCAUUCCACUUAGCAAUAGCUUGACUAUUGUUUGGCUACUAACAUGCAUAACUUUUUAAAGAAGAUAAUGAAGUUGUGAACAUCUAAAUAAUCAGGAUUUCCAUCAUGAAAGCCCUGGACUGUGUAUUUGAAUUCUUACAGAACUUUUUCCCAGCCUGUCAUGUAUGACUUUCUCUAAUGGUCUCUCUCCUACUGCAGUGAAAACCAGACCUUCUCCAAUUGGUGUACUGAUCCCAAAGGUUAGUUCAGUAGAAGUCCAGGCUUAUUUUUACCAGUUGGUUUGCUAGAAAAAGUAUAAUAAUAGUUUUUCUUUAAGGUUCUAUAGUCAUGAUUGCAAAAUAACUAUGACUCAGUCAUGCUUUGAACUUAAUUCCAUUUUAUUAAUGAAAACACAUCUGUCUACAUCUGAAAAUAUCACUUGUGACAGCAUAGAGAGCUUUGUUUCGAAAAGUAACUUAACUUAUAGCUAAAAAUGUACCCAAGAUAGAUGGAGAAGGUUGGACCACACAUAGGUGGAUGAAAGCUGGCCUAGAAUCGUCUUAAAUGGACGUUAUCCCAAGGGCUGCCUAAAAGGCAUUGGGAUCCCGACAGAGAGUCUGUGAAGAGGUGAACUGCUGAGACCCAAAUCACAGUGAAGCACAGGAAAGAGAUGCCUCCCGAAGGAUGGGGAGAGGAGUGGAGGGUCUGAAGAACUCUGCAAGGAACUGAAACAUCCUGCAAGGGAAAAAGACCAAGAGUCGGCUUUGACGGCUGCCAAACCAGAGAGCAGUGUUGGCCCCUCACAAAAGUGCCAGCACGCAGGAGCUUUCCUGGGCCUCGGCUCUCCUCUCUCCCCCAUCUUGAGCCCAGUUGUGGUCGGACACAGUGCAAGUGAGCAGCUGAGAAGAGGAACAAAGACAAGGUGGGAGAACUGAGGAGUCUGUCUCAGCCUUGCUGUGUGCUGCAGGCCCGCCUUCUGGGCACGACUGCUUGGGAGCACAGUCUACGGGGACUGUUGAUGAGCCAAGAAGUGUCGUUGGCGGAGAUGUAGAAAGGAGAGAACAGAGAGAAUCCAAGGAUCUUAAUGGAAGAAUUACAGCAAGAUGAGGAGCAAACUCGAAAGUCAGCGUAGAGAUGGACAAGGCUGAAGCAUUCAGUGAAGAGAUUUCACGCUCCUUUUCUCCGUGUUGCUGAUCUCAAUAAGAGGAAAGAAAGGCUUAAGAUGGAAGAUCUGCUUUGGUGGAAAGAAGAUGAGCGACUUUUGAGCAUCUGUAACGCCCAGCUGCUCCCUGGCACUGGGGAGAAACUAAAGCUGCUACAAAGCCAGACAGAAACCACGUCGGAGAAUCACCCAGGAACAGCUCUGGACCUCCCUUGGAAGAAGAUGAGAUGGCUUCCAGUGGUCCCCAUUUCCCUUUUUGUCCUUCUCUUGCUAACCUUCAAGCACUGCUACCUCCUAGGUUUCUGCCCAAGGCGCCAACAUCACAAUGCUUUCCUUCUUGCUACUAUUGUUGAGAUCUUUCCUUCCUCUACCCUUUUCCCCACUGCUUAGACAAGUCAUUGCCAACCUUCCUCCUAGUGAAAUCACCUCUGCUAUAUAGAAUCAGUUUCUGAAGUGUCAAUUAAUCAGUCAGAUCAAAGAAUACAGGCUAAUGCUGUCUCAGAUCACCACAGUUUCCUGAAAAAAAAAUAUAUCUUCAUCUUUUUUGGUCAGAUUCAUGUAUGACUCUAUCAUAAAAGAUGGUGAUAAAUUUCAAAUCCUGAAGAACUUUCAAGUUAUAUAUUCUGUUUACUAACAGUCCCUAAAACCAAGUAGUUACCCCAAAAGAAACAACCUAUGAUCUGAGUUUUAAAGUUUAAGACACAAAUGGAAUCCUGUCCCUUAGACAAUCACAUUUCGGGGUAGCUUUGCGCCCAGAUCCAUUUCUCAAAGUUCCUAUUCUCUGCCGCGGAUCACAGGAAAUAUAAUUAUUGCAGGCUGUGUUUCUCAGGCUCCAGGUUUGCUGGUUUGCAUCUGGGUUUGGUCAAUGGCAGGAGAGUGGACACUGAGUGAGAAGGGGAAUCCAGGAUAUGUGCCCCCCUCGCUGUCUAAGCAGUGUCUUCAGGAAAGACUGUUCUUCCAAGCUUCUAUCUGCCUCCAGAAAAGCCCUCAUGGUUCCAGCUCCCCAGCUGGUUCUGAUCCCUGAACUCUGGUGGGACUACCUUUUCCCUUUGCCCCUCUGCCUGUGGUAAUGGGUUUCUGUUUCCUGAUCUCUGAGCCAUCUUGCAGAUUUCCUGCUUUGUGUCUCAGCUUUUUCAUGACCUGUAUAACCAGCUCUUUGCAUUCAGAACCCUCUGAUGAUGAAAUAUCAGAGUGACUUUCCUGGUUGGGCUCUUCACAGAUGGGAAGUCCUAGAGACGACAAUACUUAGCAUCGCACAUACUUUCCCACGAGUUAUUUCUGCCAUAAACUGGCUCUGGUUAUUGAGUUUUUCAAAUCAACGUGAGACAGACAAAGGUGAUGAGAAGUCAGUUAGUACAGUUUCUCUUCUAAUUUCGUUGUCUGAAAACUGCCAGAUGGGAAGAUCCACCAAAUACCCAUUUGUUAUGAUGUCAACCUGAGAAAACAAACCAAUUAAAUCCCUUGACAGGAAAAGAAGUGCAUUUUUUUUUUUUGACACCAACUUACUCUUUAUUAUCAGUAAUGAUCAAAGAAGUAAAGAGGAGCAAAUGGCUAAUGGAACUGUUGCAUAAUAGGGCGUUGAUUUUCCUCAAUGCUCGACUUGACAUUAUUUAAUUUAAUUUACCAAGCAUUUAUUGAACAACUAGGCUAUGGCAAGUAAUUGUGCUAAGCCUAAGGAUAGAAUAAUGAAUAAGAGAAAAAACUUGUCCUAUAAGACUUCAGUCUAUAGGGGAGACAUGCUAAUUUAGGACAAAGUGGAAAAAAAUGCAAGUUGCUGACGAGAGAAGGAAGAACUAACUCUUGUUUGGGGGACGUGUAGAGGGGCUGAGCAAGAAAGAUUUUCUGAAGAGGUGAUGUGAUAGUUCAUUUUAUGAGUCAACUUGACUGAAUCACACGAUGCCCAGAGAUCUGGUUAAACAUUAUAUUAUUUCUAGGGGUACCUGUGAAGGGUUUCUGGAAGAGGUUAGCGUUUGAAUUGUUAAACUGAGUAAAGCAUAUUGCCCUCCCCAGUGUGGGUGGGCAUCAUCCAAUCCACUGGGAGCCAGAGUAGAAAAGAGGGUGGAGAAGGGGAGAAUUCCCAGCUCUCCACCUGACCGUUGAGCUGGACCAUUGACCUUCUCCUGGUUCUUAAGCCUCCAGAGUGGGACUGGAAUCUGCAUCACCAGCUCUCCUGUUCUGAGACCUUAAAAUGAUCCUAUCAGCUUUUCUGGGUCUCAAGCCUGCAGACAGCAAAUCAUUGAUCUUCUCCAUAAUCUCGGGAGACUUGUUGUAUAUAUGGAUGAAUGAAUAGGAGAAGAAAUAAAUAAUAACUAAAAGUAGGUGAAUUGAAGGAAAGAUAGGUACUUAGAAACAUAUAGGUAUUAGAAAUAGAACCAAUAGGAUGAAUAUAUAUAAGGUGACAAUGGCGAACACAGUGCUAGGUAUGUUAUUGCAACUCCUUUGAUAUUGUUGGGGCAGCACCUUUAUCUAUGGCUACUUUGGCCCAACAGGCUGAAUUAUACUCUCCUACAUGGGCUUGUACUUCAGCCAAGGAAGGGCAAAACUGCCAACAUUUGUACUGAUUGUAAAGAUGCUUUUGGAGUAGCUCAUGAUUUUGGAAUAUUGUGGAUGUAACCUGGCUUCCUUACUUCCAGUGGAAAUAAAAUUAAAAAUGGCCCCUAUGCUCAGGGAUUAUUGGAUGCAAUACUUUACCCUACUGCAUUAUCUAUUAUUAAGAACCCAGCCAUCCUAAAUUUGACUCUCUGAAAGCUAAGAGAAAGCACCUCUCUGACCCUUCCACAAGGAAUUCUGACCUUUAAGGCAGCAACAGCAGCCAAAACUCUGCCAUGGUCCAAAAGGGAUAUUUUCCCAAAGAAAAACUGGCUAGAGAAGUCCAACAAUUGACAUCAGAAAGAGGAAAACAAGAGUGGAAAUUCAACAAUUGUUGGGUUGAUAAAAAGCGAAAGCCCUGGUCCAGACCAAAUAACAGCCCAGUCCUACCUGAGACUCUAAAAUUCCCAUUCUUAACCACUGUGCAUGCAUUUAACCAUUGGUCUACAGACAAAAUAAUAGCAUUUGUGAAUCGAUACUAGUGGGGAAAUAUUAACAAGGCUGUAAAAAUUGUCUACCUCACUUGUCCCCCUUGCCCAAAAUACAACCCAGGGAAGCCUGUUUGUACUGAUCCUGGACAUGUUAAACGUCUAGUGGGUGAUUCAAAGUUUGGCACAUUGACAUCAAACAACCGUCUCUGCCUCGUGGAUAUAAAUAUGUUUUGGUCGUGGUAUGUUUGUUUUCUCAUGGGACAGAAGCCUUCCUUUACAGACAGGCUACUGCCUCUUCUGUGACUAAAGUCCUUUUGGAAAAGAUUGUCCCUACCUGGGGGAACUCUUCGCAAACUUCAUAGUGAUUGACAAAUCCAUUUUACUGGUCAGGUACUUUGACAAGUCUGCACUGUUUGACCAGUUUUACACUUUCGCUGUACGUACCACCUUCAAUCCUCUGAUUUAGUCAAACACACUAAGGAUAUUAUUAAGACUCAACUGGUGAAAUUUGUGGAGACCCUCCAAAUACCUUGGCCGAAAGCAUUGCCAUUGGUCCUUCUGAAUCUCAGAUCCACCCACUCUGGAACUCAUAAACUCUCACCUUUGAGACAGUCACAGGAUGACCAAUGCACUUGUCUCCUGCCUCUUUUGACCCACAGCUGAUAAAAGGAGAUAGACUCCAAUAUUGCAAAGACUUAAUUGCUUCUAUUAAAAAUAACCAUUCUUUGGUAGAGCAAUCUUUUCACAGUGUGAUCCAGGGAGAUGAAGACCUUACGCAUUGCACCUUGCAACCUGGAGAUUUCGUCUAUUGGAAAAGACACCUCCAGAAGGACCUCUCUUCAGCCUCGCUGGAAAGGCCCCAUCAGAUACUGCUAACUAACCCUUGUGCCACAAAACUGUAUGGAAUAGACAGUUGCAUUCACAUGACACAUCUAAAGAAAGUAUCAGACUCUGACUGGACCUGCACAUCAUCUGGUGACUUAAAAGGAAAGAUUUCCUGGAUUGAAGUAGAUGGCAUCUGAUGAGACAGUUUUCCCAGAUGUCUCGACCAGGCUAGUUGGAAGUUUGUCUGCCAAACCUUUGAUGAUGACAUAAUGCUUCAGAUGACCUCCAAUGCCUGUGCUCUUGAAAACAUAUGGACUUUAGGGAAAAAAAAAAGUGCCUUAGAGUUCUUUCUUCUACCCUCCUUGUUACUAGAAUGUGACCUCAAUAGAUUUCCAAUCUGUUCGCUUUCCCUGUGACGUGGGACACGAUACCCAGGAAAGGUCCUUCCUGGCAUGGAGGAACAAAAGGCCAAUGAAACUGGAAAAACCUGAUUUUUUUAUCAACAAUGCCUUCAAAGAAAGAUCUCAAUCAAAAGGGGAAAAUAUAAAAAUUAAUUAACAGAAAUCUCAUUUAAAAUGGAGUGGGGAGGCCAGAAGGGGCAGCUCUCAUGCCCUACCAUGAUAGCAGAUCCCCACAGGAGCCCCACAUUGACUCAACCAAUGAAAAGCCACUAUAUUUUAAACUCUCAAUUCCUCCAAUGCAAUCUUUGUUUACAGUAGCCCACCCAACUUCCUCUUCCCCUCCAUAAGAGUUUCUCCUCCCCUUGUUGCUCAGAAAUUUCAUGUGGCUUGCCAUGAUUGCAGAUCUUGAAUUGCCACUCUUUGUUAAUCCUAAAUAAGCCCAUUUUUGCUGGAGAAAUAACUGGCUGUCUGUUUGUUUAAGGUUAACAGAUAUAAUGAGUCUGGGAUUCAACACAUGCACAAGAGUUUGUUAAAUGUUGCAAAUAUGAGAUAUGAUAUGCUUUUGAGGAAGAUUAUGAAGAAAGUAUGGGGAGAGUGAAACUGGUUAGGAAAUUCAUGUAAUGUAAACAUACGUCCCUUGACCUGAGAGUAAUGAGAAUGCGAGCUAAGGCAAUAGGAUUGGAAAUUGGAAAGAAAAAUGUGUUCAAUAAAUAUUUAGAAAGUUGUGUUGACUUGGUAUUAUGACUGUUGGCGUGUUUUGUUACAGAGUGAAGAAAACUGGUUAAUGAUAUCAAUAUAUUCAGGUAUUUCAAAAUCUAUCGCUAGAUAGACUGGAAAUAGAAUGGGAAUUAAAAGUCUGUAAUCAGCCCAACAUGGGUAAAAUUGUUUUCAGCUUUAUCAAAUUGUUAAUUGAGGCAGCAAAACAAAUUAGUUAAGAACAGAGAUUCUGGAGUCAGAACCUCUGACUUUGAACUCAGAAUCUGCUAGAAAAUAAUAAUAGCUGUAUAUUGAAUAAAUAGAUGAAACAAUAAGUGCAUAAAUAAGAAAUUAAUAAAAGUAGAUAAAGUGGAAACAAGAUCGGUAUUUAGAAGCAUAUAGGUAUUAGAUAUCUUCGGUGACAUUUCUGUAACUCGACUUCUUUAUCUGUGAAAUGGGGAUAGAAAUAGGACCUACUUGUCAUGGCUGAUAAUAUAUCCAAAGAGGUUAGAAUAGAGUCUAACAAGAUAUUACCAUUGUUCUUUCACCUAGGAUAUUUUUAUUAGAAUACAUCUCAUUGAAUGUUCUUUUUAAGAAAGUAAGGAUUUUUGUGUAUUUUGUUGACUAAAGAAUCUGAAGCGCCCAGAAUAGUGGCUGGCAAAUAAUAGAUGCUUGAUAAUUAUUUAUUGAAGGAAUGAGAAAAUAGCUCUA